This 437-nucleotide ribosomal RNA is filed under the name uncultured Oscillospiraceae bacterium. Its description in RNAcentral is "bacterial SSU rRNA". It matches the Rfam family "Bacterial small subunit ribosomal RNA", at positions 341 to 792 of the family's 1533-position model. The record is from RNAcentral. Lineage: Bacteria; Bacillati; Bacillota; Clostridia; Eubacteriales; Oscillospiraceae.
ACGGAAGGCAGCAGUGGGGACUAUUGGGCAAUGGGCGCAAGCCUGACCCAGCAAUGCCGCGUGAAGGAAGAAGGCCUUCGGGUUGUAAACUUCUUUUAUCAGGGACGAAGAACGUGACGGUACCUGAUGAAUAAGCCACGGCUAACUACGUGCCAGCAGCCGCGGUAAUACGUAGGCGGCAAGCGUUAUCCGGAUUUAAUGGGUGUAAAGGGCGAGUAGGCGGGGAUGCAAGCCAGGUGUGAAAUCUAUGGGCUUAACCCAUAAACUGCAGUUGAAACUGUAGCUCUUGAGUGUCGGAGAGGUAGAUGGAAUUCCUAGUGUAGCGGUGAAAUGCGUAGAUAUUAGGAGGAACACCAGUGGCGAAGGCGAUCUACUGGACGAUAACUGACGCUGAGGCGCGAAAGCGUGGGGAGCAAACAGGAUUAGAUACCCUGGUA